Molecule: long non-coding RNA, 484 nt
Organism: Vombatus ursinus (common wombat)
Lineage: Eukaryota; Metazoa; Chordata; Mammalia; Diprotodontia; Vombatidae
Exons: 3
Source: RefSeq, a predicted model, not a curated record
AGGAUUAUGUGAAUGUCUUCUAUUUCACUCAAGAUCAACUUUUUUCCUCAUAGGAUUAUACUCAGUUUUGCUGGUUAUCUCUGCCUAUUUGUCGAGGAUCCAAAUGUCAUGACCUGGGUUGGUCUGGGCAUGCCCAGUUCAGUUUCAGGUACUGGAGAUGAACCCCACAGGCCAAGGUUUUCAAGCCAUGAUGACCUUGGAGCCAAGAUUAUAAGCUCAGGAGUGUGGCCAGCCACCCCAGCACGGAUGCCCUGAGAAGACAGUGUGUCUGGGACUCAAGCCCAAAGGUGGUUUUGGACUCGGAACAUGGACUAUGUUCUAUGAGAACCAAGCUAAGCUAUGAACCUAAUCCCCCUCCCCACUCCAGAAACUGAAGUUGGGAGGGAGGUAGCAGAGAAGAGGAUUUAGCCUCCUACAUGUUGGGGGAAUAAGUUUAUAUAUUUGUGAUUAUAUCUUUUGAAGUAAACAUGUCUGUGUAAAAGUU